Molecule: long non-coding RNA, 510 nt
Organism: Delphinapterus leucas (beluga whale)
Lineage: Eukaryota; Metazoa; Chordata; Mammalia; Artiodactyla; Monodontidae
Source: RefSeq, a predicted model, not a curated record
GGAUUUGGAGAUCCCAUGAAUUUGGAGGGCCCUGGGGACCUGCACCUUGGAAACCAUUGAUCUAAUCCAGUCUCCUGUUUUAACAGAUGAAGGCAAGGCUGUCUCCACUACUCCUCUGCUUAUGGGUGAAUGAAAAUGGCCACCCCAGCCCUGAUUGGACAACAUCCUUCAUUUCACACGCCAGCAAUCAUGUGGAAAUCCAUUCUGACUACAUUCAAAGUGAAGGUGAAAAAAAUAAUCUUUCCAGCUGUUUGAUACAGGAAAGAGCUCAUUGCUCUGCACAGAUCUGAAGAGCUCACACUAUGCCUCUUUCCUGUGACUGUAGUGGACACAUCGUUGGCGUUCAUGUUUCUCUGUUGCUUCCUGGAGCGUCCACCCACAGUCAUUCUCCAGCCUUUCCCAUUCCUGGAUGGCAGGCAGAGCAGCACCUUGGGCGAAGGAAUGAGGGCUCAGCUGAAAUAAAUGCCUGGAGAAGACGGAUGCCUGCGGUGCAGGAGGAUUGGCCAAGGC